GCGCCGAUAGUUUAAUGGUUAAAAUUUUUGCCUUCCAAGCAGACGAUCCGGGUUCGAUUCCCGGUCGGCGCACCA
RNAcentral lists this transfer RNA (75 nucleotides) under Candidatus Woesearchaeota archaeon. Its description in RNAcentral is "tRNA-Gly". It matches the Rfam family "tRNA". Rfam says of the family: Transfer RNA (tRNA) molecules are approximately 80 nucleotides in length. Their secondary structure includes four short double-helical elements and three loops (D, anti-codon, and T loops). Further hydrogen bonds mediate the characteristic L-shaped molecular structure. tRNAs have two regions of fundamental functional importance: the anti-codon, which is responsible for specific mRNA codon recognition, and the 3' end, to which the tRNAs corresponding amino acid is attached (by aminoacyl-tRNA synthetases). tRNAs cope with the degeneracy of the genetic code in two manners: having more than one tRNA (with a specific anti-codon) for a particular amino acid; and 'wobble' base-pairing, i.e. permitting non-standard base-pairing at the 3rd anti-codon position. Lineage: Archaea; Nanobdellati; Candidatus Woesearchaeota. The record is from RNAcentral.